Molecule: ribosomal RNA, 250 nt
Filed under: uncultured bacterium
Lineage: Bacteria
Also listed under: 1 other name
Description: partial 16S ribosomal RNA
Rfam family: Bacterial small subunit ribosomal RNA
Source: RNAcentral
AACGUAGGAGGCGAGCGUUAUCCGGAUUUACUGGGCGUAAAGCGCGUGUAGGCGGCACGGCAAGUUGGAUGUGAAAGCUCCCGGCUUAACUGGGAGAGGUCGUUCAAAACUGCCGAGCUAGAGUGCGGGAGAGGGAGGUGGAAUUCCGGGUGUAGUGGUGAAAUGCGUAGAUAUCCGGAGGAACACCAGUGGCGAAAGCGGCCUCCUGGUCCGCAACUGACGCUCAGACGCGAAAGCUAGGGUAGCAAAC